GAUGAAGAACGUAGCGAAAUGCGAUAAGUAAUGUGAAUUGCAGAAUUCAGUGAAUCAUCGAAUCCUUGAACGCACAUUGCGCCCGCCAGUAUUCUGGCGGGCAUGCCUGUCUGAGCGUCAUUUCAACCCUCAUGCCCCUAGGGCGUGGUGUUGGGGAUCGGCCAAAGCCCGCGAGGGACGGCCGGCCCCUAAAUCUAGUGGCGGACCCGUCGUGGCCUCCUCUGCGAAGUAGUGAUAUUCCGCAUCGGAGAGCGAUGAGCCCCUGCCGUUAAACCCCCAACUUUCCAAGGUUGACCUCAGAUCAGGUAGGAAUACCCGCUGAACUUAAGCAUAUCAAUAAGCGGAGGA
Molecule: unclassified non-coding RNA, 348 nt
Filed under: soil metagenome
Description: partial contains 5.8S ribosomal RNA, internal transcribed spacer 2, and large subunit ribosomal RNA
Rfam family: 5.8S ribosomal RNA (bases 1-120)
Source: RNAcentral